GUUGGAACGACUGCUAAUACCGGAUGUGCCGAGAGGUAAAAGAUUUAUUGCCUGGAGAUGAGCUCGCGUCUGAUUAGCUAGUUGGUGUGGUAAGAGCGCACCAAGGCGACGAUCAGUAGCUGGUCUGAGAGGAUGAUCAGCCACACUGGGACUGAGACACGGCCCAGACUCCUACGGGAGGCAGCAGUGGGGAAUUUUCCGCAAUGGGCGAAAGCCUGACGGAGCAAUACCGCGUGAGGGAGGAAGGCUCUUGGGUUGUAAACCUCUUUUCUCAAGGAAUAACAAAAUGAAGGUACUUGAGGAAUAAGCAUCGGCUAACUCCGUGCCAGCAGCCGCGGUAAUACGGAGGAUGCAAGCGUUAUCCGGAAUGAUUGGGCGUAAAGGGUCCGCAGGUGGCAAUGUAAGUCUGCUGUCAAAGAAUGAGGCUCAACCUCAUCAAGGCAGUGGAAACUACGUAGCUAGAGUACGGUCGGGGUAGAAGGAAUUCCUGGUGUAGCGGUGAAAUGCGUAGAGAUCAGGAAGAACACCGGUGGCGAAAGCGUUCUGCUAGGCCUGUACUGACACUGAGGGACGAAAGCUAGGGGAGCGAAUGGGAUUAGAUACCCCAGUUAGUCA
Molecule: ribosomal RNA, 615 nt
Filed under: Desmonostoc muscorum AUS-JR/MT/NT-088
Lineage: Bacteria; Bacillati; Cyanobacteriota; Cyanophyceae; Nostocales; Nostocaceae
Description: bacterial SSU rRNA
Rfam family: Bacterial small subunit ribosomal RNA
Source: RNAcentral